Magnolia sinica is the source of this 1340-nucleotide long non-coding RNA. RefSeq lists it as uncharacterized. The transcript is spliced from 4 exons. The record is from RefSeq and is a predicted model, not a curated record. NCBI's taxonomy places the organism in Eukaryota, Viridiplantae, Streptophyta, Magnoliopsida, Magnoliales, Magnoliaceae.
UCCACGCUCGAGCAUUUCUUGUUACAGAAGCCUUUCUGCCCUGCAACGCCGAAUAACCUAGGGUUUCCUAGAUGGACCCUCUCUCUCUCUGCAUUUUUCGGUGGAAUCUCUCUCCAUUGCAGAUCGAAAUCCCUCUUGUAGCAUCUGAUUUAGUGGGAACGCUCAAAUGUUUAUAUGCAAGUCCACAUGUGAUCAAGUACAAAGAUGAGAGAAAUGGAACAACUAGAAGAUGAGUGUUCUGUAGUUGGAGAACAUGUUAAAGCGAAUGAGGAAAAUGUUGCUCGUCUCAACAAGUUCAAAAAGUCAAUUGGUACAGAGAUUGCUUUACACUGAAGUAAUGUGAAUCCUGAAAGGGCUGUUUAGUAAAUAGAGGAACAAGUUGUGCAAAUGGUUAUGACGUUUUCUUAUUGUGCAGAGGAAUUAAUAUUCAGGUUUUCUCAGGACAUUGGAUCCAAGCAUUAAGUGCAACAUGGAAGUUAUUAAACAGCUUAAACAAAUAAAUGAAGAGCAGUGAGAAGGGAUGAUGGAAGAAUUAAAAAGUGUCAAACUAAGCAAAUUUGUGAGUGAAGCUGUGACAGCCAUAUGAGAUGCCAAGCUCAGGACUUGAAGACAUACAAGCAGCUGUUCAGUAGUUCUUUUUGACCUUCUACAUGCAUAUUCAUUGUUUAUCACAUCUAACAUCUUGAUUCAGGCUUACUAUGAACUUCUUGUGCCUGUAAAACAGUGAUAUGGAACUCGUGGACAUAAAACCUAUAUUCUGGUAAGCAUGUAGAAAAGCAUUACAAGUAAUCUGUAUCUACAGUUUAUUAGCUAGCUUAGAUUUUCUUUUCUUGUUGUAGAGGUUGUCCAAGCUAAGCAUUUUACUCAACUCUUUGAGUUUCCUUCUUUGAAAGAUAGGAGCUUCAAAUAUCCUCAUCUGAAUGAAACUGGAUCUUCCUGUGAAAUUAGAAAUAUCAACUUUGAGAGAAUGCAUUUAAUGCUUCCAUCUAGCAGCAUCCUUGUGGAACAGUUGGCCUACAAGCUUUGGGGAUGCCAAUGCUUCACAUGAUAAGAAGGGAGGUCUUGAAAAGAGGAGGGUUGCUAAGGUGGAUAUACAUAGGGAGGGAAGAGAUCAAUCAAGCCUAAGUCACUCAAGGAAGACUGGGUUAGGGUGAGAAGUUGAGAAAGUGCUAAAGAUGGUAAUGAAGAUAAUAGGGUUUUAUUAAAUAGAGGGAUUUUUUAUAUGAAGGUAAGGAGUUUAAAAAUUCACAAUUACCCUUCCCAAUCCACAUAAAUUCCAAUUAUUUUUAUUUUUGGGCAAGGAUUUGACACAAGGGCGGGUAAGAAUUUUAAUUUUCAAA